GUGGGGAAUAUUGGACAAUGGGGGGAACCCUGAUCCAGCCAUGCCGCGUGUGUGAAGAAGGCCUUUUGGUUGUAAAGCACUUUAAGCGAGGAGGAGGCUACCGAGAUUAAUACUCUUGGAUAGUGGACGUUACUCGCAGAAUAAGCACCGGCUAACUCUGUGCCAGCAGCCGCGGUAAUAAAGAGGGUGCAAGCGUUAAUCGGAUUUACUGGGCGUAAAGCGCGCGUAAGUGGCCAAUUAAGUCAAAUGUGAAAUCCCCGAGCUUAACUUGGGAAUUGCAUUCGAUACUGGUUGGCUAGAGUAUGGGAGAGGAUGGUAGAAGUCCAGGUGUAGCGGUGAAAUGCGUAGAGAUCUGGAUGAAUACCGAUGGCGAAGGCAGCCAUCUGGCCUAAUACUGACACUGAGGUGCGAAAGCAUGGGGAGCAAACAGGAUUAGAUACCCGAGUAGUCC
This 451-nucleotide ribosomal RNA is filed under the name uncultured bacterium. Its description in RNAcentral is "partial 16S ribosomal RNA". It matches the Rfam family "Bacterial small subunit ribosomal RNA", at positions 354 to 796 of the family's 1533-position model. The record is from RNAcentral.